RNAcentral lists this long non-coding RNA (2042 nucleotides) under Anser cygnoides (Swan goose). RNAcentral describes it as "lncRNA (ENSACDG00005000442.1)". Lineage: Eukaryota; Metazoa; Chordata; Aves; Anseriformes; Anatidae. The record is from RNAcentral.
AUGAAGAGAGGGUAUUCAUUCAAGAGGAAUCUGCAAGGAUAUCAGAAGAAAUUGAAUGUCUUCUUUUGCUCGGCAUUUCCUUCCUCACAAUUACAUCUUCUCCUGGACAGGAGCUUCUCACAAGAAACCCAGGCAGUCUUCUCUCCAUUUCUUGCAUUGAUCUCGUUCUCCAGCACGUACCUGGUUCAGGGCUUGCAAGGAACAUGGUGGAAUUGCUUCAGACAGCUACCACCAUCCACGCUCCUGCAACUGACUCUGUACAGCCAGGCCUCUGACUGCACAGCCUCUGGCAAAGGACACAAGGGACCACUCUGCUUUGGGGGGCCCAGCUGCAGAAGGCAGGAGGUGGGUCAGAUAAUGGUAGAACACAGCUCUAGCUUUUGUGUAGUGUGCAUUAGCUUAACACAAGGAAGGUGUGAUGAUUACACACAGGCUCUGGGUGCAUGCUACUUUGUCUUGUGAAUUUCUUCACAAGUGAUGGGAUUCUGGCAGUGGUUGAAGUGAAUCUACUAGCAAAGCAAGCUGCUAUAACCUUACAAUAUUUUAAUUCGGCCAGAGAUAAAUUCCCCGCUGAUUUGCUGGUUACUAUAUUUGCCCAUUUCCCCAUGUAAAAGCAUCCUAUCAGACCUUUUCAGAGAGUGGGCAUAAGUAUUUUCUCAAACAACACUACACUCAUUUUUAAAGGAUGGAAGAAAAGAAAAACGGGAAAACAAAAGCUCACAGCAGCUCUGCUCCUUAUUUCUGUCCCAUGCGGAGAUGACAGUUGAGUUACUUCUUCGCCCUGCGGCACUCUCUGCAGCACUAACCUUGGGAAGGUGCAGAAAGAAACGGCAAAGGAUAAGGAGUUCUAUCUCUGGAGGCAGAGAGGGAGGGCUUAGGAGCUGAAACCAGUAACAGAGGUUGGGGAUGGUGGGGAAAGAAAAUUGAUGUGAAUUGGGAAACAUGAAAAAUAGGGAAACAUGCAGAAUUGACAGGGUGAGGGAUGAAUAGUCUGUUAGUCAUUGGGGUGAGCAGAACUGAGGCCGGCGGCAGGCUGAUGUUUGGUCUGCGGGGCAAGACUGCUGUAGAAGCUGUGAAAGAGAAGUGAGUGUUCAGAAGCAGGCAGAAAGGUGGGAGGACAGGAGGUUUCUGAAGUGUUUCUCAGCAAACUGGAGAGAUUGGCUGAAUGUUUGUUAUAAAGACAUGCUGAGUGUGGUUGAAAGGAAGACUCAAAAGAGUUAAUAGUUAGGUUGAAAUCCACUGUGUAAGACUUUAAGAACAUAUAAAUUAAAAGUCAAAAGCAGAUACCUAUGAAAGAGAAUUACAGUGGGAGCAGCACAAAAUGAUACUUUCCCCAAAUAUGCUUCCAAACAGAAUUCCUGAGCCAGAGGUGAUACCCGUGCAUUAAAAAGCCCCUCAGUACAUAUCUACCAGCUUGGCUGGUCUCCCCUUGAGCCUGUCUGAAUGUUUAGCAUCCACAUCACCCUGUAGCAGGGAGUCUCAGAGUUUUGCUCCAGUUGUACUUACCUGGCACACUUUCCGUGCAGAACUGAGGAACGACGGCAGGAUCACAUACCUGAAUGAGGUAUCAAGGCCACAUGUGCAAACAGGAUCCUCUCUCCAAAGAUAUCACAGCACAGGAGCCUGUAGGUACCUGGGCCUGGGUCAAAAGACAAAACUAGUCCUUCCAUUGACUCUGUCUUAGUUUCAGGUCUGUAUCCCAAAGUAGCCAGCGUCAUUUGCUGAUGUCUUAAGUUACGUUUUGUUUAAAAGCUUCCCAUCUGUUUAGGUUUGUACUCUGUUUCAUACACAUUUAAAUUACUGCUGGAUGGAUGUGGUACAGUGAUGAUUUUGGAAACAUUCUCAUUGUUUUUUAAUUUCCUACGUGCUGCGUUUUUUUUACAGAGAUCAGCACAAAAAGGCAAAACACAACCAACUGUGACAGAAUAUAUAAAACAGCAUGAGCUGCCUACAGAUAAAUGAAAACAGUCCAAAAUAAUAGAGACCAAUGUGAAUCAUGACCAAUAAGCCUAUUUGUAAUAAUAAACAUGUCAUCUCUGUCA